AAAUUUGAGAGUUUGAUCCUGGCUCAGAAUGAACGCUGGCGGCAGGCCUAACACAUGCAAGUCGGACGGAGUUAUAUUGUAGCUU
This 85-nucleotide ribosomal RNA is filed under the name Wolbachia pipientis. RNAcentral describes it as "partial 16S ribosomal RNA". It matches the Rfam family "Bacterial small subunit ribosomal RNA", at positions 1 to 89 of the family's 1533-position model. Lineage: Bacteria; Pseudomonadati; Pseudomonadota; Alphaproteobacteria; Rickettsiales; Anaplasmataceae. The record is from RNAcentral.